Long non-coding RNA from Vitis riparia (riverbank grape), 684 nucleotides. RefSeq lists it as uncharacterized. NCBI's taxonomy places the organism in Eukaryota, Viridiplantae, Streptophyta, Magnoliopsida, Vitales, Vitaceae. The transcript is spliced from 2 exons. The record is from RefSeq and is a predicted model, not a curated record.
UCGCCAUGCCACCAGUAUCACCAUUGCCAUCCCCAGGUAACUCAGCCAUUUCAAGGAGAAAACCAAUGCCACGGAUGCCACUAUUACCACCACUGCCAACCUCAGGUAUUCGACCAAUUGGGCUUUAGCUCAGUGGAGGGAGUUAUCCAGCUAUAUUGGCCUUGCUGUUCAAACCCUGAUUUUGUCCACUCUUUCAAAGGAUAAUGGGAUUUUGCAGUUUGAAACAUGUGGCUUAGCUAGAACUCCAACUUUUAUUUAUCAAGUGGUGCUGAUAAUUGAUGCAAUACUUGCCAAUAUAGCUGCUUAAAAUUUGGUCCCUUCACGUCAAAUUGAUGGUUUCCUAAUUGAAGAGAUGAGCAAGACUGGUAAAGAAGGCAUGCUGCAAGAUGAGUUGGGUGCGUUAUUUAAGUCACUUCGAAAAAGGAGAUGCUUCUGCAACAUCUCAAAGAUAAUCUAUUCAGACGGUAGAGGGCAGAUUUCCCUUGUGGUAAGGCAGAAACACAUCAAAAGGCCUCUACAAGAGGAGAGAUUACCAUUAUCUUCAAGUGUGUGCUAGUGCUACUAUAUGUGAUGAAUUGGUAAAAAUGCUUUGGCAGUCUCUUAUGCUUACUGUAACCUGUUAUGUAGUUUUCUUGGUAUAGCGGGUUAAUCUUAAGCUUUUCUUUUAUGAUCAUUGAGAUCUGA